CUGCAUCUUUUGACACACCUGAAGCAAAUCAAGUGUUCUUGGGUUUUGAAUAAUGAUGCAAGAUCAAUUUCCUCGCGCUUUCUGUGUGCUUUGUAUUAUAGCAGCUCGGAUUGAAUAGGGGAGUACAUUU
Acipenser ruthenus (sterlet) is the source of this 130-nucleotide small nucleolar RNA. RefSeq annotates it as small nucleolar RNA SNORA31. Lineage: Eukaryota; Metazoa; Chordata; Actinopteri; Acipenseriformes; Acipenseridae. The transcript has a single exon. The record is from RefSeq and is a predicted model, not a curated record.